GACGAACGCUGGCGGCGUGCUUAACACAUGCAAGUCGAGGGGUCUCCGCAAGGGGGCACCGGCGAACGGGUGCGUAACACGUGAGCGACCUGCCGUCCCUGUGGGGGAUAGCCGGCCCAACGGCCGGGUAAUACCGCAUACGCUCUGGCCCGGGCAUCUGGGCGAGAAGAAAGCUGGGGCAACCUGGCGCAGGACGAGGGGCUCGCGGCCUAUCAGCUGGUUGGCGGGGUAACGGCCCACCAAGGCGACGACGGGUAGCUGGUCUGAGAGGAUGGCCAGCCACAUUGGGACUGAGAGACGGCCCAGACUCCUACGGGAGGCAGCAGUGGGGAAUCUUGCGCAAUGGCCACAAGGCUGACGCAGCGACGCCGCGUGUGGGAGGACGCCUCGGGUGGUAAC
RNAcentral lists this ribosomal RNA (399 nucleotides) under uncultured bacterium. RNAcentral describes it as "bacterial SSU rRNA". It matches the Rfam family "Bacterial small subunit ribosomal RNA", at positions 28 to 430 of the family's 1533-position model. The record is from RNAcentral.